AUGGAUGCCUCCCGAUCUGCCGACUCAACUGCCCACCACCCUCACUACUGCUCUUAUCCCAAGCGUGACAAAUUCUGGCGGAGCACAGUCUUCAGCAGGUCAAGCUGCUUCUCCAUUCUGAAUCCCAGGAUACCCUCCAGCUCCAGGAUCAGUCAGCCAAACCCACAGCUGUGCUGAUGACCUAGCCCCUCGACCUCAGACCCACCCCAACCCAGGCCUCAGGAAGGGUGAAGAUUUACUGAUCUCUCUAACUGCAUUAACAGGCUCAUUGUGCAAGAGCAAAUUAACCAGUUCAUUCAGGCCUACUGGACUUAUUUUGCAUCUCAUUUGACCAAAUAUUUCAGGUAAGAAUGGGUUCAGUAGAGGGGUGAAGCACUCAGAUGAAUGAGAAUCAAGUUCAUUUUUAGGGUUGAUUUUUUUUUUUUGAAUAAUUGUGACACUUGUUAAGCACUUACUAUAUGCCAGACACUGAUAAGCAUUGGGCUGGAUACAAGCCAUCCACUUGGACGCAGUCCCUGUCCCACAUGGGGUUCACAGUCUUAGUCCCCAUUUUACAGAUGAGAUAACUGAGGCCCAGAGAAGUUAAGUGACUUGCCCAAGGUCACACAGCAGGCAAGUGGUAGAGCUGGAAUUAGUAUCCAGGUCCUUCUGACUCCAAGCCCGUGCUCUAUCUACUAGGCCACACUUCUUCCUAUUUAGUAACUUACUUAUAACACUGCUUCAUAAUCCAUUUUUUUAAAAAAGACCACAUCAUUCCAUAGCAAAGCUUCUUUGGGCUGGAAGGAAGGACUUGUCUGACUUGAUUUUCCUAUACCUACCUCAGCACUUAGUACAGUGCUUGGCCCAUAGUAAACUCCAAACAAAUUCCACAGCUAUUAUUAUUACGAGAAGGAAAGCUCAAAACACAGAAUCCACGGAGGGAUACCCCUUUCAUUAAAGUGAAUGUUUAGUUCACAUCAGCUAGGAUAGCUGAAACCUCUGAACCUGAUUUUUUUAAUGGCAUUUGUUAAAUGCUUGUGUAACAUUCCAGACACUGUGCUAAGCACUGGGGUAGAUAUAAAAUAAUCAGGUUGAACUACAGUUCCUGUCCCAUAUAAGGCUCACGAUCUUCAUCCCCAUUUUAAAGAUGAGAUAACUGAGGCACAGAGAGGUCAAGUGACUUGUCCAAGGUCACGCAGCAGACAAGUGAUAGAGUCGAUAUUAGAACGCAGGUCCUACGAGUCUCAGGCCCGUGCUCUUUUCACUAGGCCCCGCUGCUGUUCUUUAUCAGCCUCUUCUCUUUGAGCAUCAAAUAUGAUGCCUGAGCAGAGCUGCCCAGCUCAUGGGGGUGUUGGGGACAGUAGCAGCUACCAAGGCUUGGUCAGUGACUCCCGGCCCUGCUCGCCCCAGGUCUCGGACAAAACCUAAGCGUUUCCAGGGAAGGCUAAAAAGACCCAACAGUCGCUUUCUGGCCCAGUCACCCUCUGAAACUGUCCCCUCGUAUUAAAACCAUCAUCUCUAAAAUCCCUACCCCUUUGUUGCCCUCCCCCCACUUACUUGCCAAUAUGUCGCUAAGGAGAAAAAGAGGCAUAAAGGCACAUAUGUCAUGAAGACAGAGAAGAAUCUGUGUUUGAGAGCAACAUUGCUGAUUGUCUGAUUUCAGCCAUAUGUCUGACUCUGACCAAAGUUAUGGUCUUUUCCACUCUUAAAGACUGUCAAAAGACUGGGGUUCUAAUUGAUACCCCACAACUCACCUGCUGUGUGGUGACUUUGAGCAAGUGACUUAACUUCUCUCUGCCUUGGCUUUCUCAUCAUUAAAAAUUAAAAAACGAAGCUAAGUUACCCAUUCUCUCUCCCCUUUGGACUGUGAGCCCCAUGUGAGACAGGUACUGUGUCUGUUACCUCAUCAGUAAAAUGGGGACUCAUUCAUUCAUUUAUUCAGUCAUAUUUAGUAAGCACUUUCUGUUUGCAGAGCACUGUACUAAGCACUUGGGAAAGUAAAUAGAGAAGCAGCUUGGUUUAGUGGAAAGAGCACAGGCUUGGGAGUCAGCAGACGUGGGUUCUAAUCUCAAGUCCACUGCUUGUCUGCUGUGUGGCCUUGGGCAAAUCCCUUAAUUUCUCUGUACCUCAGUUACCUCGUCUGUAAAAAUGGGGAUGAAGACUAUGAGGCUUCUGUGGGACAAACUGAUUACCUUGUUAUCCGCCCCAGCGCUUAGAAUAGUGUUUGGCACAUAGCAAGCGCUUAACAAAUACCUUUUUUUUAUAUAUAUAAUACAACAAUAAACAGUGACAUUCCCUGCUUACAGGGAGCUCUCAGUCUAGAUUGGGGCUUCCCACUCCCACUGUGAGCCCCAUGUGCAGCAUGGACUGUAUCCGAGUUGGAUUUAUUCCAGCGCUUAGUACAGUGCCUGGCACAUAGUAUGCGCUUAACCAAUACCAAAAUAAUGAUUAGAAAGAAAUAAAACCAAUACCACGAUUAUUACAGUGGUUAUUCUAGGGCUCUGUCUGUGGGAACGGCCUCUCCCACGGGAUUUCUGGUUCUGAAAGCCUUUGUCCACAGGAGGGCAGCAGAGACAGGGGGAUGGACCGACCUGCCGAGACCCAGGUUGGGGAUUAAUUCAUUCAAUCAUUCAUUCAGUCGUAUUUAUUGAGCGCUUACUGUGUGCAGAGCACUGUGCUAAGCGCUUGGAGAGAACAAUUCAGCCACAAAGAGAGACAAUCCCUACCCAACAACGGGCUCCCAGGCUAGAAGGGGGGAGACGGACAACUAAACAAAACAAGUAGACAGGCAUCGAUACCAUCAAAAUAGAUAAAUAGAAUCAUAGAUAUAUACAUAUCAUUAAUAAAAUAGAGUAAUAAAUAAUAUGUACAAAUACACACAAGUGCUGUGGAGGGGGAAGGGGGUAGAGCAGAGGGAGGGAGUCGUGGCGAUGGGGAGGGGAGGAGGAGCAGAGGAAGAGGGGGGCUCAGUCUGGGAAGGCCUCCUGGAGGAGGUGAGCUUUCAGUAGGGCUUAGAAGGGGGAAACCUGUGCUAGUUUGGCGGAUGUGAAGAGGGAGGGCAUUCCAGGCAGCAGCAGUAGUAACACUGACUGGUGAUCCUCGAGGGAGGACGGCCUGCUUCCCCUUCCAGCCUCUUCACUCCCUGGCGAAAAGGAAAGUUCGCCUAAGGCCUGGGGGCUCUUGGAAAGUCCCUUCUCUUCCCCACUGCCAGCUGAAUUUGCUUCCAUCUCAGUGAGUGACCAUGGACUUCAGUCAGUCAAUCAUCGGUACUUACUGAGCACUUACUAUGUGCGGAGCACUGUACUAAUUAAUCAAUCAUCAAUCAAUUAAUCAUGUUUAUUUAGCGAUCACUAUGCGAAGAACACUGUACUUCGCCGUCAAAGGGCAGGGACUGUAUCUGUUACCGAUUUGUACAUUCCAAGGGCUUAGUACAGUGCUCCACACAUAGUAAGCGCUCAAUAAAUACUAUUGAAUGAAUGAGUGUACUAAAAGCUUAGGAAAUAACAGUAGUAUUAGUAGAUUAGUAGCCCAGGAAUCUGGGCCAGCAUGUACCUUUAGGUUACAAUCACAGAGAUAAUCAGUGAUCAGUGCUGAAGACAAAUGGAUACUCUGGACUGUCAGUUCGUUGUGGGCAGGGAACAUAUCUAUCAACUCUGUCAUAUUGUACUCUUCCAAGUGCUUAGUACAGUGCUCUGUACACAGUAAGUGCUCAAUAAAUAUGAUUGGUUGAUAUGGCCCUUCCCUGGCCAAGGGUGUCAGCCUCUUGAGGGCAGGUAUCAUGUCUACUGAUAUUUUUACAAUUAUAAUAAUAAUUGUGAUAUUUGUUAAGAGCUUACUAUGUGCUAAACACUGAACCAAGCACUGGGGUAGCUACAAAACCAUCAGGUUCCAGAUGGGGCAAAACAGUCUAAGUAGGAAGGAGAACAGAUACUGAACCCUCCUUUUGCAGAUGAAUGAAUUGAGGCACAGAGAAGAUAAGUGACUUGCCCAAGAUCACCCAGCAGGUAAGUGGCAGAGUGGGAAUAGAAGCCAGGUCCUCUGACUCCCAUGCCUGGACUCUUUCCACUAGGUCACACUACAGGGAGUACAUUACUCCAUUCAUUCAUUCAUUCAUUCAUUCGUUCGUUCGUUCGUUCGUUCAAUCGUACUUAUUGAGCACUUACUGUGUGCAGAGCACUGUACUAAGCAUCUGGAAAGUACAAUACAGCAACAGAUAGAGACAAUCCCUACCCAACAACAGUCUCACAGUCUAGAAGCGGGGAGACAGACAACAAAACAAAACAAGUAGACAGGCAUCAAUACCAUCAAAAUAGAUAAAUAGAAUCAUAGAUAUAUACACAUCAUUAAUAAAAUAGAGUAAUAAAUAAUAUAUACAAAUACACACAAAUGCUGUGGAGAUGGGAAGGGGGUAGAGCAGAGGGAGGGAGCAGGGGCAGUGCGGGGCGGGGGUGAGCAGAGGAAAAAGGGGGGCUCGGUCUGGGAAGGCCUCCUGGAGGAGGUGAGCUCUCAGUAGGGCUUUGAAGGGGGAAGAGAGCUAGUUUGGCGGAGGUGAGGAGGGAGGGCAUUCCAGGUCAGAGGUAGGCGGUGGGCCAGGGGUCGAUGGCGGGAUAGGCAUGAACGGGGGACAGUGAGGAGGUGAGCGGCAGAGGAGCGGAGUGAGAGGCAGAGGAGCGGAGUGUGGGGGCUGGACUGUAGAAGGAGAGAAGGGAGGUGAGGUAGGAGGGGCAAGGUGAUGGAGUAAUCCAUGUAAUCUACCAAGCACUUAGUACAGUGCUCUGCACACAGUGGGCACUCAGUAAACUCGUAGAGAAGCAGCAUGACGUAGUGGAUAGACCACAGGCCUCGGAGUCAGAAGGUCACGGCUUCUAAGCCCGACUGUGCCACUUGUCUGCUAUGUGACCUCAGGCGAGUCACUUCACUACUCUGGGCCUCAGUUCCCUCAGCUGUAAAAUGGGGAUGAAAACUGUGAGCCCCACUUGGGGCAACCUGAUGACCUUGUAUCUAUCCCAGUGCUUAGAACAGUGCUUGUCACAUAGCAAGCACUUAAAUACCAUAAUAUAAUAAUAAAUAAUAAUAAACACCAAUGAUUGAUAAGAUGAGACAACA
RNAcentral lists this long non-coding RNA (5085 nucleotides) under Ornithorhynchus anatinus (platypus). RNAcentral's name for it is "lncRNA (ENSOANG00000041279.1)". Lineage: Eukaryota; Metazoa; Chordata; Mammalia; Monotremata; Ornithorhynchidae. The record is from RNAcentral.